Molecule: unclassified non-coding RNA, 200 nt
Filed under: Leucosporidiales sp.
Lineage: Eukaryota; Fungi; Basidiomycota; Microbotryomycetes; Leucosporidiales
Also listed under: 1 other name
Description: partial contains internal transcribed spacer 2 and large subunit ribosomal RNA
Source: RNAcentral
AACGCUUGCUGGUCUUUUGACGUAGCUCGUUCGUAAUACAUUAGCAACUCUAAUUCGACUUCGGAUUGACUCAGUGUAAUAGACUAUUCGCUGAGGACACUUUUACUAGUGGCCGAACGAGAUAACUGUAGAUGCUUCGAACCUCUAUAGUCAACUUUAGAUUAGACCUCAGAUCAGGCAGGAUUACCCGCUGAACUUAA